CUGUGGAGACCUUGAGUAGUACCUCGGAGGUGGUCCAUAACCAACAAUAAAGGCAGUGCAGAGCAGCUAGAAGUCCUUCUUUAAACCCAGUGGGGGCUUCCUGAGGAUUCGGAGCCAUUUGGCUUUGCUGGGUCACUCCAGGAAAGAUACAAGUCCUGCAUCCUGGAGCAAUGAAACUUUUAUCAAGGCAGCAACAGCAACAGCCACUAAGCACUCCCCUCUUCAUGCUCAUCUUUAAGUUUCCCUCUGGUUAACGAUCGAAACCAAAUUCUAUCCCUUGUUAAUUGGCCACCAGAUAUAAUUGCGUGAGUAGGAAAUAGCUAAGUAGGUAGGAAAGUGGUUGGACGCUCUCGCUUUCUGUGGCAUUUUUUGCAUUUAUGCUGGUUCUUUAACCAAUUCUUCUAACCCAUGUUUGAGUGCAGCAAAAUGGCAGUUUUAAGCAGUAGUAAGAGAGUCUAGGCUUGAAUAUUUCAGAGUUUAACUGCAAAAUGGGUGCAUAGUUUCUGCACGGACCAGAACAUUUUGGGUCAUAUCAGAUUGCAUCUCUUGUCUGGAGGACUUGCCAGAGUCUUCUUGUUAGGCUGGCUGGGGCAAGGUUGAGAGCACAGAGAGAAGAAUGGAGACGGGAUGUAAAGCCCCUGGGAUGGAUGGUAAGAGUUUGUGUAAGACCAUGUCCAACUCUUGAGAGUGAUGCUGACUUCCAGGUUUUACCCUUUUCCUCUGUCUUAGAAGUAUACUAGGCAGAGAGAGGGAAUUAGAAGAAAGUGACAUAGACUCAUGACCUCGUCCCCUGGUGAAGUAUCAAGAUCUGUGUGGGUUUGGGUGUGCUACUCACUUGCAAAAUAACCCAGUCUUGGUCUGUUCUCUUGGUGUGUAGUGUUCGUUUUCUCUACCAGAGAGCCCGUAAGGUCAUUUUGGACAGGGAUAUUAUGUCCCUCAGGCUCCUACUGAGAUGGCACACAAACUAGGACAGUUCAAGGAGGGUUUAAUAGAGGAAAAAGCACCUGGCCUCAGUAACCAGCUGGUUGAUUAAGAGGUUGCUUUUGGCAUCUCAAUGGCUCUUUUUCCUUAUCUGUAUAGUAGCAACGCACCUGCCUGCUUUCAGGCCCCACAGGAAAGGAAUUGCUUACAUCUAUCUGAGCCGCCCUAAAAGAACCUGACUACAAGAAUGAUUUUAAAGCAUAAUUUAAACCAAAGCAAUAACAGACCUCUAAAAGCCCUGAUCAAGAGUCCUAAAUAAAUUCACCUUCUGUAAUUGCCAGUACAUGUCUAUGUCCUCAACUUUAUGAACCAACUCCAGCAUCGCAGAGCUGACAUCACUCCUUGAUCAAUCUUCAGGAAGGAAUUUACUUCUCUAAUAACAUGCUUCUCAACAUCAGGCUGGUCCCAGAAUGACCAUCAAACAGAGGCAAUGUGAACAGCUGGGAGUAUCUGAUGGCAGUAAACACAGAUGUGCCUGACAGGACAUUAACUGCUUAGCACGUUGAUGUAACUGACUUCUUAACGUUCAGCAAGGCUUUGUGGUCCCUGAGAUGCUGCUGCCUGGGAAUAAUGAUCGGCGCACUCCCCAUCCUCUCUUUGGCGAAGGUGUUUCUGCGGCAUCUGAUGCAGUGCUUCAGCUUGGUGUUAAUUACGAGAUCAGCUCAAGGCCUGUGAUUUAGAGCCUGGGCUCGGAACCCUUUUGGUAAUUCAGUUCCCGUAAGUCUGUGUUAUUGGCUCCCGAAUGCACUUGCUUAAGCUAAUUAAAAAAUAAGCUGAAGAAAUUCAUUUCUUAUGCAAAAUUAAAUCUGAUAUACACACUGAAUAUUGCACCUUGUCACGUUCAUUUCUAGCUCAAUUCUACCUUUUACUGCUCACUUGCAGCCUGAGAAUUCCCAUUUAAAGCAAAUGUUUGGAUUCUUGAAGAGAGAGAAUUGGCCUUUUUGAAAAUGUUUGGUUACAAAACAACUUUGAUCAAGUAUUAAAGUAUAAAAAAGAUUGUUAACGUUCUUUUGUGGCAUUAUGAGUCAACCAACAUCGUCACGAGACUGACAAAUUGAUAGUCUCUUGGUGAAAUGGGAAUAAUCCUUCAAAUAACACGUCCUUUGCAUAAAAAUGGCAUUGGUGGACCUGACAGGCAUGAGACAGCAGCAGUGAUAACUUGAAGAGUGUUGACUGUCACCUCUACCCUGUCCUUCCCAAUCUACCUAGUAUCAGUGUCACGUAUGCGGAUGGAUAGAAUUAAGAGCAGGGUUUGCAAGAAAUAAAACCUCCUUUUGUUUUUUUAAUCCACAUAAACAAACACAUAAAACUAAAGCUAUCCAGUUUCAGACCAAUGUGCUCCGUAUCUGUUCACUGCUGGGCUUCCAGAUCUGGUGGAGAAAAAUCUCAGGGCAGGGUCACUUGCUAACGUUUCUAACCCAGGCCGACUGUCUUAAAAACACAUUCUUCAGGCACAGGCUAUACUUUCCAGUGAAAUACAUCACUGCUCCUGAAAAUCUUCUGAAUAGCCUCAGACCACUGUUGAUGGGUCAAGAGUGUCACUGUCACAUAAAGCACUUGGCAAAAACUUUGAAAAACUUGAGCACUAUUUUUUAUUAGAGAAUUGCUAAAGUCAGGAUGGCAAGCAGGUUUUA
Molecule: long non-coding RNA, 2615 nt
Organism: Equus caballus (horse)
Lineage: Eukaryota; Metazoa; Chordata; Mammalia; Perissodactyla; Equidae
Source: Ensembl